RNAcentral lists this transfer RNA (74 nucleotides) under uncultured Acidimicrobiales bacterium. RNAcentral describes it as "tRNA-Undet-???". It matches the Rfam family "tRNA". From Rfam's summary of the family: Transfer RNA (tRNA) molecules are approximately 80 nucleotides in length. Their secondary structure includes four short double-helical elements and three loops (D, anti-codon, and T loops). Lineage: Bacteria; Bacillati; Actinomycetota; Acidimicrobiia; Acidimicrobiales. The record is from RNAcentral. RNAcentral also lists the same sequence under 1 other name.
GCCCCCGUACCCCAACUGGCAGAGGGCGGCCGCUUAAACCGGCUUCAGUGUGGGUUCGACUCCCACCGGGGGCA